GACAGAGGUCUCGAGCGUUAGGCGGAAUCACUGGGCUUAAAGCGUGUGUAGGCGGAUCGUUAAGUACCUUGUGAAAUCCCACGGCUUAACCGUGGAACUGCUUGGUAUACUGGCGGUCUUGAGCCAGCUAGGGGCUACCGGAACAAAUGGUGGAGCGGUGAAAUGCGUAGAUAUCAUUUGGAACGCCAAUGGUGAAAACAGGUAGCUGGGGCUGUGCUGACGCUGAGACACGAAAGCCAGGGGAGCAAACGGG
This 253-nucleotide ribosomal RNA is filed under the name uncultured bacterium. RNAcentral describes it as "partial 16S ribosomal RNA". It matches the Rfam family "Bacterial small subunit ribosomal RNA", at positions 524 to 776 of the family's 1533-position model. The record is from RNAcentral.